GGAUCGAGGGUCUAUGACAAUGCCAUGACCUAAGCGCCCUGCUGCGCAGAUGAGUUUCCCGUGCCGGUAAUCUCGUAGCUCAGAUUGCAGCCUACGGAGAUCGCCGGUCAUCCAGCAUCUCCUCGGUCCAGAAUUUUGCAAGCAUCCUUGUCCAGGGAGGUCGAGCCAGCAGCACCAUGCUUGAUGAUGAUGCAUCGGCUGAUCGGGAGCUCGAUUACAGCAACAAACCAUGGAGGAUUUCGGGCUACUUGAGCAUUAGGCAGCAAGCCAUGUCGAACUGACAUGGAGUUUGGAAAAGGUCUGCAUCCAGGUGAAAUGGUGAACUAAUAACACGAGUACUCGUACUGCUUCAAACAUGCAUGUCUAUCUCUACAGAGAUUUGGUAUGAAUAUAAUUAAAAGCAUUUGUUUGGACUUCUUGGAUUGUCUGCAUUUUUUUGGUGAAUCUAACAGUUUGUUCUGAAUUAUUCUAUUUUGUUUAUCUGAGCAAAUCAUUCUAUGACUAGCUGAAGUUUCAGGUGUUAAUCCUACAUUUAAAUGACCAUCCAACUUAGUGUUGGGUGACAUGUAGGUGAUAGCUGCAACAAAUCCUAUGGGCAUUCUUCAUCUUGUUUUGUUGUGUUUGGAUCGGCUGAAAAAUAUUUGCAGGCUUCUCCAAGUGAUACCAGUUAGGUGAAUGAAUAUGCAUAUGCGUCGAGGGCUCAUAUACUGGUGUUACAAGUUUCCUAACAUUGAUUAAGUUGGCCUAGAAGGAAGAUUGCUCCAAGAGUGAGUGCACCUAUUAUCAUUGGUCCAGAGGCUGAAGAUCCGUCGAAGCAGGUUAGUUCACAUUGCUCACAUAUGUACCUCUUUGCUCAUCAGAUAUAGCAUGCUAUGUUUUCCUUUCCUUAAGUGUACGAGUCUGCAGUGCAGGAAUUGAGGACCAUUGUUCCUGCUCAGGAGAAAUAAACCAUCAUACAAACAGCUAUAGGGAAUAUAUAUAUGAACGAUUGAACGUUGAUAUGGUUUAGCCAGAUUUGUGAGGACAGAUUUAUCCCCUAAUGAGCUUUACGGUCGGUAUGCUAUAUAUGUUGCAGCAGCUGAUGCAUUCAAACCAAAUUAUUCGGUAUUUCUUUUUUGUGCUAACUGCAUGUUCUUUUCUUGUCUGUAAGAAAAUUGAUAAUUGACAGUGUGUUACUUUUGUAUAAUUGGUCCGGUUGAUGUCAUGACUCAGUUGCUCUAUUUCCUGGCACUAUUUUAUUUCUGUUCUUGCUUCAUGAUGGCUAGAGUAUGGCAUGCCCGUGAUACGGGUAUUUGUUCUGAAAUUGGUUGUUUUUUCAUUGAACUGUGUUGUCAACUUCCUUAAAAUUUGUUUCUUUAAAUAUUUGUUUGUUCUCGUCAGUUUUUGGCACAUUUGUAUUCUCUAGAAGGUAUAAUUUCUAGCUAUUAAUCAUGGAAGAAUAAUUUUAAAAAUAACUAUCAUAGUAAAUGAUGCAGCUACCUUCUCCAUGCCUUAUAUUGGGAUAUUUGACUACUCCUCCAGCAAACAAUACCAUUGCAUAACACACUCACAGUUUGUUUUGAACCAUUAGGGAGAGGGACUCCAUCAGGUUCAUCCUUGUUAUUGGACUGCUCCAGAUGAUAAUCGCCUGGAGUUUGGAGUUACUGAUUUUCGUUUCUGCUCUUUCUACCACCUUGCUCUCUGAAUCUGAGGUUUUCCUUUU
This is a non-coding RNA of Lolium perenne, 1702 nucleotides long. NCBI's taxonomy places the organism in Eukaryota, Viridiplantae, Streptophyta, Magnoliopsida, Poales, Poaceae. The record is from RefSeq and is a predicted model, not a curated record.